RNAcentral lists this ribosomal RNA (490 nucleotides) under uncultured soil bacterium. RNAcentral's name for it is "bacterial SSU rRNA". It matches the Rfam family "Bacterial small subunit ribosomal RNA", at positions 26 to 506 of the family's 1533-position model. The record is from RNAcentral.
AGGAUGAACGCUAGCGGCAGGCCUAAUACAUGCAAGUCGAACGAGAUUGAAGAGCUUGCUUUUCAUGAAAGUGGCGCACGGGUGCGUAACGCGUAUGCAACCUACCUUAAUCAGGGGGAGUAGCCUCUCGAAAGAGAGAUUAACACCGCAUAAAAUACACAAGCUGGCAUCAGCAAAUGAUCAAAUAUUUAUAGGAUUAAGAUGGCAUGCGUGACAUUAGUUAGUUGGUGAGGUAAUGGCUCACCAAGACGAUGAUGUCUAGGGGAUCUGAGAGGAUGACCCCCACACUGGUACUGAGACACGGACCAGACUCCUACGGGAGGCAGCAGUAAGGAAUAUUGGUCAAUGGAGGCAACUCUGAAACCAGCCAUGCCGCGUGCAGGAAGAACGGCCCUACGGGUUGAAACUGCUUUAUACGGGAAUAAAACCUCUUUACGUGUAAAAGAGUUGAAUGUAUAGUAAGAAAUAAAGGAAUCGGACUAAACUCCGU